RNAcentral lists this long non-coding RNA (238 nucleotides) under Capra hircus (goat). Its description in RNAcentral is "lncRNA (ENSCHIG00010007481.1)". Lineage: Eukaryota; Metazoa; Chordata; Mammalia; Artiodactyla; Bovidae. The record is from RNAcentral.
GCGAUUCAUGGGGUCACAAAGAGUCGGACACGACUGAGCAACUGAAUUGAGCUGAACUGAAGGGGACUCAUCUUCCUAGUGUCCAGUGCUGUUCUGCCCAAUAUAUGUUGAACUGCUCAUACCCCAGGGGAUCUUCCCAACCCAGGGAUUGAACCCAUGUCUUCUGCAUCAGGAUUCUUCACCAUUGAGCCACCAGGGAAGCCCAAUGAAGAUGUUAAAGGGAACAAGGACUAACAGG